RNAcentral lists this ribosomal RNA (452 nucleotides) under uncultured bacterium. RNAcentral describes it as "partial 16S ribosomal RNA". It matches the Rfam family "Bacterial small subunit ribosomal RNA", at positions 28 to 507 of the family's 1533-position model. The record is from RNAcentral.
GAUGAACGCUGGCGGCGUGCCUAACACAUGCAAGUCGAGCGAUCUACUUCGGUAAAGAGCGGCCGACGGGUGAGUAACGCGUGGGUAGCCUGCCCUGUACACCCGGAUAACAUGCCGAAAGUUAUUCUAAUACGAGAUAAUAUGCUCUUAUUGCAUUGUAGAAGUACCAAAGCUUUUGCUGUACAGGAUGGACGCUCUUCCUAUUAGAUAGUUGGUCAGGUAAUGGCUUACCAAGGCGACGAUCAGUAGCCGAACUGAGAGGGUUGUCGGCCACCUUGGAGCGGAGACACGGUAGAAACUCCUACGGGAGGCAGGAGUGGGGAAUAUUGCACAACGGGGGAAAGGAUGAUGCAGCAACGACGGGUGAGCGAUGAAGGCAGUCGGGUAGUAAAGCUCUGUCAUCAAGGAAGAUAAUGACGGUACUUGAGGAGGAAGCCCCGGCUAACUACGUG